UCUCACUAUUUUUUUUUCAUGUUUAACCCUUUUUUCCUCGAGUUGCCCUUCCUCAAUUUGUCAAAAAAAGACAAAAGAAAAGAAAAGUCGCGUCCUUACCUUUCUCAGUCGCGUCUCUUCCCUUUCAUUCUUCUUACAAAGUCCACAAAUAUAUAAACACUGCUUUAGCAGAACUCUCACUAUUCGCUUCCUAUUACUCUCUCUAUCCUGUAACAUUUUGUUUUCCUUCUUUAAUCACUUCUCUCUCUCUCUCUCUGAAUUAUUCCUUCGAUGCACUACAUAAAUAUAAAUCCACAUAUUUGCAUCGGUUAUCCAAACAUGAUGCUUUCUUGGUCGAUCUUCAUGCUUUAUAUAUGCUAUUUUGAUUUCUGAGACAAGAAAGAUGGCAAGGCUGUGAAUCGGAAAAGAAGAAGAUUAAGGUCCACAUAAGGGCGGCCAAUAUGAAAUGAUGCACAAGCCAUUAGUUCUACCUCAAUAGGUGGCUUAAAAACACACAAUCAAUUCAUCGUUGAAUCGCUAAAGAACAUGUUCCCAUUCUUUGUGUUCUUCUUACAUCCCCGUUGAUUUCCUUUUUCUCCCCAAUCUUCCAAACAUCUUUCCGUCAGCAUCUCCUGCAACAGCUAUUGAAAAUUAUUCUUCACAGCCUUUGAAGUUGUACAAAACGCUAGCCAAAAUUACUACAAACCCUCCAGGUUAGUCUAAACCAAUAUGUAUAGAUGGAUAUGUUUGGGAAAUCGAUAUCGUCAACUGAUAACGUAUUUCAAGGAGUUGACAAAUACAAAAUAUCUUGGAUAAAGUUCUUUAGGUUUCCUAUUUUGAAUUGUAAUUGUACAUGUUUCUUUAUGAUAUGCCUAAUUUUGUUAUGAUUAAGAACAUUGUCCUAACCUUUAAUUUUUGUUUUGCUCAAAUGAAUUUCCUUUAUACAAAACAGGUGGAGUAGCUCUAUCCAUGUAUGAAAAAGAUGAGAUUCUCUCAAA
This is a long non-coding RNA of Solanum dulcamara, 977 nucleotides long. RefSeq lists it as uncharacterized. The record is from RefSeq and is a predicted model, not a curated record. The transcript has 3 exons. NCBI's taxonomy places the organism in Eukaryota, Viridiplantae, Streptophyta, Magnoliopsida, Solanales, Solanaceae.